Benincasa hispida (wax gourd) is the source of this 781-nucleotide long non-coding RNA. RefSeq lists it as uncharacterized. The record is from RefSeq and is a predicted model, not a curated record. Lineage: Eukaryota; Viridiplantae; Streptophyta; Magnoliopsida; Cucurbitales; Cucurbitaceae.
CACCGGCACGUGAAGGCAGCUCCCAACAAACAUUCCCAUCGGACGUACGCCAUUGAGGCCGUACAGUCACAGAGCACGACCAGGUUCACUGAACCUCCGACUCCGUCCCCUCUUUAUUUACACCCCCUCCACAAAAAUAUUUCAUAAAACACAGAAAAAAAAAAUCACUCCUCAUUUCUUCUUCUUCUUCCUUCUUGCCGCAAUGGGGUAAAGCAACUCAGCAUGAGGCAUUGCUUUCUUAUCCGGAGAAAGAUAGUCAAGAAUGAUUUGCCAAUAUUCACAUCUCAUGAGACCAACAACUUUCUUUAGGCUUUUUUUAAGAUGAACAGAAAUCGCACUUUUGGACUUGGAAUUUGCAGCAUCUCUUGUAGCCAUUUGACUGCUUUCCCAUUUAUGUUGCUCUUGAGUUCAGCUAUUGUGGCCUUGUCAUGCCGUCGAUGACCCGGGAGAGCAAGUCCAACGGCAGCUAUUCGCUCGGUCCGGUCGCUCUUCUGCAGGAAUGUGAUUGAAUAGCAGAGCAGAGAGAACAUUUUGUUGUUCUUGGAAGAGUUCCCCCUAUUGAAACUUCAAAUGCUUAACAUUUUUUCUGUCCUUUGGCUGACGAUGUUUUUAUUUUCGUCAUAUGGUUUUUCAAUAAAGCGUCUGUUGUAGUCUCCUUGAUAUGAACCGCUCAAACAUCAAAUUGUUAUUUAUAUUUUAUUUAAUAAUUUUGAUGUAAUUUUAGCAUUUUUCAAUUUUAACCUUUUUAUGACAUUUAAUUAGGGAUAAUAUGAUCUUUUUA